GGUUGACCUCGGAUCAGGCAGGGAUACCCGCUGAACUUAAGCAUAUCAAUAAGCGUAGGACAAGAAACCAACAGGGAUUGCCCCAGUAACGGCGAGUGAAGCGGCAAGA
This 109-nucleotide ribosomal RNA is filed under the name Penicillium roqueforti. Its description in RNAcentral is "partial 28S ribosomal RNA". It matches the Rfam family "Eukaryotic large subunit ribosomal RNA", at positions 1 to 106 of the family's 3401-position model. The record is from RNAcentral. Lineage: Eukaryota; Fungi; Ascomycota; Eurotiomycetes; Eurotiales; Aspergillaceae.